Molecule: long non-coding RNA, 208 nt
Filed under: Nicotiana benthamiana
Lineage: Eukaryota; Viridiplantae; Streptophyta; Magnoliopsida; Solanales; Solanaceae
Description: long non-coding RNA (NBEN_LNC000752)
Source: RNAcentral
GCUUCUCGCAUCUUCUCAUCCACCGGGACCACCCCCACCUUCUCUCGAAUAACAUCAUUCUUAAUCUUAUCUAGCCUGGUGUGUCCGCACAUCCACCUAAGCAUCCUUAUCUCCGCAACCCUCAUCCUCUGAACAUGCGAGUUCUUCACGGGUCAGCACUCCGCCCCAUACAACAUCGCAGGUCUAACCACAGCUCUAUAGAAUUUCC